CCUACGGGAGGCAGCAGUGGGGAAUAUUGGACAAUGGGGGCAACCCUGAUCCAGCAAUGCCGCGUGUGUGAAGAAGGCCUGAGGGUUGUAAAGCACUUUCAGUGGGGAGGAGGAUAUUUUGGUUAAGAGCUGAGAUAUUGGACGUUACCUACAGAAGAAGCACCGGCUAACUCCGUGCCAGCAGCCGCGGUAAUACGGAGGGUGCGAGCGUUAAUCGGAAUUACUGGGCGUAAAGGGUGCGUAGGUGGUUGUUUAAGUUAGUUUUGAAAUUCCUGGGCUUAACCUGGGCUGGAGGACUAAUACUGAGCGACUUGAGUAUAGGAGAGGAUAGUGGAAUUUCCGGUGUAGCGGUGAAAUGCGUAGAGAUCGGAAGGAACACCAGUGGCGAAGGCGGCUACCUGGCCAGAUACUGACACUGAGGCACGAAAGCGUGGGGAGCAAACAGGAUUAGAUACCCUGGUAGUCCACGCUGUAAACGAUGUCAACUAGCCGUUGGUCAUAUAGAUGUGAUUAGUGGCGCNGCGAACGACGAGUAAGUUAGUACCGCCGUCGGGGAGGUAACGGUCGGUCGAAGAAGUUAAAACGUUAACUUAAAUAGAAGUUAGUUACGGCGUUGAGACGUUGCCGACGGACGACGACGAGGGAGGAGG
This 650-nucleotide ribosomal RNA is filed under the name uncultured bacterium. RNAcentral's name for it is "bacterial SSU rRNA". The stretch from base 1 to 548 matches the Rfam family "Bacterial small subunit ribosomal RNA", at positions 338 to 873 of the family's 1533-position model. The record is from RNAcentral.